UACGGGCAGCAGUGGGGAAUAUUGCACAAUGGGCGCAAGCCUGAUGCAGCCAUGCCGCGUGUAUGAAGAAGGCCUUCGGGUUGUAAAGUACUUUCAGUCGUGAGGAAGGUGUUAAGGUUAAUAACCUUAGCAAUUGACGUUAGCGACAGAAGAAGCACCGGCUAACUCCGUGCCAGCAGCCGCGGUAAUACGGAGGGUGCGAGCGUUAAUCGGAAUUACUGGGCGUAAAGGGCACGCAGGCGGUUAAUUAAGUUGGAUGUGAAAUCCCCGGGCUUAACCUGGGAAUGGCAUUCAAGACUGGUUAGCUAGAGUCUUGUAGAGGGGGUAGAAUUCCAUGUGUAGCGGUGAAAUGCGUAGAGAUGUGGAGGAAUACCGGUGGCGAAGGCGGCCCCUGGACAAAGACUGACGCUCAUGUGCGAAAGCGUGGGGAGCAAACAGGGAUUAGAUACC
Molecule: ribosomal RNA, 450 nt
Filed under: uncultured bacterium
Lineage: Bacteria
Description: bacterial SSU rRNA
Rfam family: Bacterial small subunit ribosomal RNA
Source: RNAcentral